This 406-nucleotide ribosomal RNA is filed under the name uncultured bacterium. RNAcentral's name for it is "partial 16S ribosomal RNA". It matches the Rfam family "Bacterial small subunit ribosomal RNA", at positions 30 to 526 of the family's 1533-position model. The record is from RNAcentral.
AUUGAACGCUGGCGGCAGGCUUAACACAUGCAAGUCGAGCGAGCGGCGGACGGGUGGGUAAUGUCUGGGAAACUGCCUGAUGGAGGGGGAUAACUACUGGAAACGGUAGAUAAUACCGCAUAACAGCAGCUGUGACCAGAUGGGAUUAUCUAGGAGGUGGGGUAAUGGCUCACCUAGGCGACGAUCCCUCGCUGGUCUGAGAGGAUGACCCGCCACACUGGAACUGAUACACGGUCCAGACUCCUACGGGAGGCAGCAGUGGGGAAUAUUGCACAAUGGGCUCAAGCCUGAUGCAUCCAUGCCGCGUGUGUGAAGAAGGCCUUCGGGUUGUAAAGCACUUUCAGCGAGGAGGCGUUACUCGCAGAAGAAGCACCGGCUAACUCCGUGCCAGCAGCCGCGGUAAUUC